CCUGUGAGCUGCUUUGAAAGUCCACACCAAAGGCAGGGAUUUCUUCCUUUCUGCUCUGACUGAACAUUCCCUGGGUCUUGCAUGCCCUAUUAGGCCGCCGGGGGGCAGUCAAAGCCCAGCUUUUGGGAUGUUGGGGCUUCGGCGGGAAAAGCACAGAUCACCCUGUGGUGUCUGCCCCUCAAGAUGAUGCUGAUGCCUCGAUGAGCUGCACUCCUUCCUGUCCAGACAGCGUGUACAUGCCCAGGAGCGAGGACUCACUUUGUUCAGAGUUCUGGGAGGAAGUACUCCUCUGUACUGAAUUCUCUCCAACGUGUUGAAGCUGACGGCUACUUUAAGACUAGUUCGUGCUCUUCUUACUUCCACAAGGGAUGGAGAAAAGGGCACAGACAAGAUGGGGUGUCUGAGUCCUGGCCUCCAAACACUGCUAUACCAUGAGAGGGGAGUUCCUUGGUCCCCAGUAUGGACCC
This is a long non-coding RNA of Eptesicus fuscus (big brown bat), 467 nucleotides long. RefSeq lists it as uncharacterized. Lineage: Eukaryota; Metazoa; Chordata; Mammalia; Chiroptera; Vespertilionidae. The transcript has 3 exons. The record is from RefSeq and is a predicted model, not a curated record.